UUUUAAUAUCAUAAAGUGUUUAACUAAAUCAGUUAUAGUGUUUGAAGGCCACAUUAUGCCAUUAAUGUCGUAUUAUAAUCAAUUGAUAGUAUUAAAAACUCACAUGGUUACUUCCAAUAUAUAUGCUCAACAUUGUGUGUAAGAUAUAGUUAUUAUUGAUAAUCUAAUUAAUCUACUAACCAAAAAGAAGUACAUGUAUAGCCUUACUGUUUAUUGUUCAGGUCAGAAUUCAUGCUUAAAAGAAAGAAAUGGCAGCUCAAAUCAAAGAAUUACACUCCCAUUAAUGGUGCUAAUUGCUCAGAAAUUUUUUUAUUAUAUAUAGAUACAUCUUCCACUACUUUCAUUUUUAUUAUGUCUCUAUUUUAUGUUAUAAUUUUUGUUUAUGCAUGUAAUAAUAAGGCUAGAUUACUUAUACUUCUGUUUUAACUUGGAAUUAUGUUAAUAAUAAUUUACUUUUGUGAGAGAAAUGAAAUGUAUUUAGACAAACAUCAAUGCAGAAAAAAGGAAUAUAACUGUUGCUCUUUCACGUACCCUUAAUACACAUAUAUAAAAGCAAACCCUAUACGCAAUUAGCAUAGUUUGUACAAUUUUAGCAUGCACUGAUGCUUGUAUAUUUGAUCAGAGUAUUAAUUACAAUUAAAUGAUUGUGCAGAUUUUAGGUAAAAAUCAAACAUGCAGACACUUAUCAUUUAGACAUACCCUUUUCCCAUAGCUCUUUCUUUUUUUCUUUUUUUUUAUCAACCCUAAAUAUAUAGGAAAUAAACAUGGUUGUUUUAAUUUCCCAUCAUUUUUUUUUCUGGAGGAUUUCAACCGUCUGCAUUCCAUUUCAUCAACAAGACCUUUAGAACCUGAAAUUGGCAUAGAACUUGAAUGAAAAUCUGUACUCCUUAAAUUACUAAGAACCCUAAAGUAUCUAAUAUAUAGGUAGACAAUCAAUAUACUUUAGUUAGUUUCAACACAGAAACGUAGAAUUAAGUUCGAUGGCAUAGGAUUAACUGAAGUAAGUAACUCAUGGUAUUGAAAUUAACUACGUCCAUGGUAUUGAUUACUCCAACCAUUACAAAAAAAAUCAACAUUCCACAAAAGUCAGAUUCUGACAUAACCGAUAUAAUAGUCUGAAAGACUGAUAAUACCGAAGAGAUAUGAAUGGUAUAGAGUACUAUGCGUGUUAAAAAUGCAUAAACUAUCCACCAUGAGUAUGUGCAUAGAGAACACACAAAAAAAAAAAUCACCUUUUUGAAAGAUUGUUGUUCAAAACUUUCAAUUCAACUUUAAAAAUACUUCUGGGUUCAAUCCCAAAAUUUAAAAUAAAGAAAAGAGAGACGAGUACAUACCAGAUAAAACCUAACCAAAAUCAAUAUUUAAUUCCAGUUAAAUCUAUGCUUCUGUAAAACCAUGUUCAUUACUACAAAGAAUCCCAUUUUUCGUCACAAAAUCCAUACCUUUGCUGAUCAAUUUUUCUUCUUAACCGAGCAUCCCCAAAACCCUAGCAGUUAAUCUGGUAAACUCAGGAGUAAAAUAAACGAAAAUUAGGAUGGGUUUUAAGUAGAAUCUUAUGUCUAAACUGUCAUCAGAUGCAAACAUAAAGCUGUUUUCAGUGAUUAGUCAACAUAAACCUCUUAAACGUAGGCUAACUGAGAGAACACAAGAUCAAAAUUCAUCAACUAAUUAGAGCUUCAGAUACUUGUACCUGUGAAAAUAGGCUCUCUAUAAGCGAACACAUAUACUUCAGACAAAGCAGAAAUAGAAUUACUUUUCUUGAGGAAACUGAUGCACUUCAAUCUGCAUGCUAAUAAAAGAAUAAUCCAUAUGUGGAAAGCAGCAAUACAUACCUGAGAAAUGGAAUGAGAUGCCCAUAAAGCAUACUACUGAAUGAUAUGACAACACAAGCCUAAGGGAUAGGGUAACUUAUAGCAUAUGAAGGGAAAGUGAAAACAAAAAUCAGAUACAUAUAUAUUAACAGAAAGUGAAGAAAAUAAAGGAUUGAAAGAAAGAGAUGGAGAUGGGGUGACAGAUAGAGAGUAAGCACACAUAGCUUCAAGCAUGAAACCUUAUCAUCCAAGAAAGUACCAUGUGUGCUCACUCUCUUCUGUCACCUCCCUUACCCUAAUCUGCAUUCAUUUACUGAAAUCUGAUGUGUAUCAUUGCUGCAUAAUACUUCUGGAAUGGGUUGGAUGAGGGUUAAGGGGAGAGAAAAAAACAUUCAAUUGUUUCUCUAACAAUCAACACCCUUUUUUUUAUCAAACAUUCAACACAAGUUCACUUUCUCAUGGAACAAAUGACGAACUUGAAUUGCCCUUGUGUGAAGAACUGAAGGGGGAUGCAGGGUAUAUAUAGGGAAAGAGGAAAUGUUGCAUCACGU
Molecule: long non-coding RNA, 2362 nt
Filed under: Vigna radiata
Lineage: Eukaryota; Viridiplantae; Streptophyta; Magnoliopsida; Fabales; Fabaceae
Description: long non-coding RNA (VRAD_LNC005672)
Source: RNAcentral